This 23-nucleotide non-coding RNA is filed under the name Cricetulus griseus (Chinese hamster). The record is from RNAcentral. Lineage: Eukaryota; Metazoa; Chordata; Mammalia; Rodentia; Cricetidae.
UCAUUAAAAUGUUUGCAGCGUAG